This 72-nucleotide transfer RNA is filed under the name Patescibacteria group bacterium. RNAcentral describes it as "tRNA-Met". It matches the Rfam family "tRNA". From Rfam's summary of the family: Transfer RNA (tRNA) molecules are approximately 80 nucleotides in length. Their secondary structure includes four short double-helical elements and three loops (D, anti-codon, and T loops). The record is from RNAcentral.
AGCGGAAUGGGGAAGCGGUAUCCCGUCAGGCUCAUAACCUGAAGAUCGCCAGUUCGAUCCUGGCUUCCGCAA